Molecule: long non-coding RNA, 2294 nt
Organism: Vitis vinifera (wine grape)
Lineage: Eukaryota; Viridiplantae; Streptophyta; Magnoliopsida; Vitales; Vitaceae
Exons: 2
Source: RefSeq, a predicted model, not a curated record
UGCGUGAAGAUUAAAGAAAAGGCGGUACAGUAACCGAAACCAACCAACCUUUCUUUCUUCUCCUCUCCUGUUUCUUCUCUUUUCACUUUCUCUCUCUUUUUUUCUUUCUCUUUCUCUUUCUCUCUCUUUGUCUUCUCCCUUUCUAUAAAUCAAAACCCAAACCCAUCACCACCUUUUGAUCACAAUCUCCCCCAUUAAAACACACCACUUCCACCAUAUGUCUCCACGGACCACCGCCUUUCUAGCUCCUCUUCUUCUUGUUGUUGUUGGUGCAGGUGGACAGUUCCAAAGGGAUCGCAUUGAUCCCAUGGUUAUCUUCCACCUCUCUUACCAGACUAUCAUAACAAAGUCUGGCCUUUUUCCCAUUGGAUCAUGCUAUCCCUUAGGAACUCUCCAUCAGUGCCUCUUUCUCAGCAUCUCCCACCUCCCUUUCAGGCUGCAAUCUCAGAAAUAGGGGUGUGUUUGGCUUUGUAUUGAAAGUCCACCUGCAAUAGUAGGGAAAUAUUCGUCUUUUUAAGACAUGGUCUUCAGUGACAUGUCGAGCCUAUUAUUCUUCGAUUACUAGUUUCCUAUUACACAUGGGUUGAAGACAAUGUGGGGUCAAUAUUUAAAACUACUUAGCCGUAAGUUGAUGAUCAUUCAAAUUUCAAAGGCAUUAACAAUGUUGUGAUCAAGUGAUUUUUCUUUUACCAGAGAAAGUGAUGGAAUCAUGGUAUUGGGUUUUUCUUUUCUCCUUCUGCCAUUUCCCCUAUGUUGAUAUAUAUAAGAUGAUGGCUAUUAGUUUACCAGGAGACUUCUCUUCAGAGUUGUUUGAACAACUUCUUCACCUCCUUGACCAUCCAAAAUUGUUGUACUGAAAAAAUUGGAUGAGUACAAUGUGUGUGGAGAUGGCAUGAAUUUUAGUGGAUGUAACUAGGCCCAUUCAGCCGAACUUUCAAUCUUAUCUGAUUGGCAUUUGGGCUCAGCUCAUUGAAACAUUGGUAAAUCUUAAGCCCAAACCUAGCUCAUUUUCGGCCCAAUUUCUUCAUAUGGUUGGUGGUGGUUAUGAACAUUUGAGCCAAAUGUUCCAUCACAUGGCUGGGGAAAGACCAAUUGUUUGGCCCAUUGCGUUGGGUGGAUUUUUGACACAUUUAGGUAGAUUAAAAAAGAAAUAUUUGCAAAAAAAUAAAAAUGAUAAUUUGAAAAAUAGUGCAAGAAUUAUAACACUUUGUGCCACAUAAACUCUUCAUAAGCACCAUAUGAUAUCAUAAGAUAAUUGAUUAAAAGGGAUGAAAUCAUCUCCGCUUUAAAAAACUAACCCUUCACUUUUUUUCAACCUAAAAAUAUACCUAUUUUGAACAAAAAUACCCUCAUUUUUUCUUACAAAAAUAACCCUAUUCUUUUAAAACACAUAUGUAAAUAAUGAAAAUAUUAAAGGGUAUUUAUGUCAAAAAUGGAUUACUCUUAAGUUAAAAAAUGGGAGAUGUUAAUUUUAUAAAUUUAGAAUCUUUUCAUCUCUUUUAAUCAAUUAAUCUUAUGAUAAUUGUGUCUUCAAAAUAAGAGUUGUACUUUCAAUUAAUCUUAUGAUAGUUCGGUAUAUUCAUAAAAUUGUACUUUCACUACACAAAGUCUAGGGUUUUUUUUUUUCCUUUAAUUUUUAAUCAUUUUUAUUUCUAAUUUUUUUUCUCUAUUUUCAAAAAAAAAAAAAAAAAUCUUAUUCUAGUAAUUUCAUAUAUAUAUGAAUGGUAAAGAGUAGUAUAAAAAUUACAAUUGGUUUAUUUGUAGAUCUUCAUUUAGGGGAACAUUAUUUGGGAUUAAGUUUUCCUUACAUAUAACAUUAUAUAUUGUUUUUCUUCAAAAGAAUUUGCAUUUUAUUCUUAUUGGAUUGUAUUUGAUAGUGAUAAAUGAAUGUGUUAUCAACCGAGUAAUCGGUUGAUUAGCUAUUGAUCGAUUGUGUAACUAGUAAAACAAUGGUUGCUCCAUUUGUUCAUCGAUAGCAUUAAUGACAUGUUUACUUGAUUUCUAAGAAAUACAAAUGAAAAGGGAUCAUUUUAUUCAAAGUUGAAUUGUGCUUAAUAAUUGUAAAUAAGUGUGAUACCAAUUGUGCGAUAGGUUGACUAGUUGAAUUAUCAAUUGUGCAACUAGUUAAAUAGAUGAAAAAAAGUCAUUAUAAGUUGUGCAACUAAUUAAAUAAAUGAAAAGGAGUCAUUCUACUUCCGAAGGAUUUACACUUUAUCUCUAUUGAAUUAUGUUUAAUUGUGGUAAAUGAAUGUGCUCUAACUCAUGUCUUUCAAUACAAUGGACUUAAUUAGUCA